This 384-nucleotide unclassified non-coding RNA is filed under the name fungal sp. RNAcentral's name for it is "partial internal transcribed spacer region". The stretch from base 1 to 46 matches the Rfam family "Eukaryotic small subunit ribosomal RNA", at positions 1786 to 1831 of the family's 1831-position model. Lineage: Eukaryota; Fungi. The record is from RNAcentral.
AAGUCGUAACAAGGUUUCCGUAGGUGAACCUGCGGAAGGAUCAUUAACACGUAUCCAAACGUUAAAACCCCCCCCGUGAACCUUCAUCCUGCUCUUGUAACCCGCGUAGUUCGCAAUCUCUGAUAAAUCAUAGCCCGGAAAGUUGUAGUGAUUCAGAGACCUCUGGCUACGUGCGAACAUUGGAACAGUUACAAUCGAGCGGUAGUUCUAUAGGCAAUGUUUCCCCAAGCGGUCUACAGGAAUCGUAGAAGCGCUAUCCUUGCACAAUUAAUAACACCGUACACUUUGCCAAAGGGUCCCCAUGCCCCCUAAUAACCCCACAGUUUAAUGUGAAGCUCAAUGUAAUAACCGAACAAACUGUUAACAAUGGAUAUCUUGGUUCUC